RNAcentral lists this long non-coding RNA (229 nucleotides) under Elaeis guineensis (African oil palm). RNAcentral describes it as "long non-coding RNA (EGUI_LNC042720)". The record is from RNAcentral. Lineage: Eukaryota; Viridiplantae; Streptophyta; Magnoliopsida; Arecales; Arecaceae.
CAAGAUCAUAGGGAUCCGAUUUGAGCAUGUGAAGAAUUGCCUGUAGCAAUAGAAAUAAAUCAGCAAUCAUGAAAGGAAGGUGGGGAUUUGAGAGAAUAGGAAAUUAUGGGUGCUGAAAUUGGAUCCUGCGAAUGGGUGGAUUGUCGAGAAUUCUUCAUCCUUCAAUCUUCAAGCCUUGAGGGAGAUUUUUAGAAGAGAGAUGGGAGAGAGAGGAAGAAGGAUGGGAGGA